This 2657-nucleotide ribosomal RNA is filed under the name Aeromonas veronii. Its description in RNAcentral is "23S ribosomal RNA". Lineage: Bacteria; Pseudomonadati; Pseudomonadota; Gammaproteobacteria; Aeromonadales; Aeromonadaceae. The record is from RNAcentral.
GUUGUAUGGUUAAGUGACUAAGCGUACAUGGUGGAUGCCUUGGCAGUCAGAGGCGAUGAAGGACGUACUAACCUGCGAUAAGCUGUGAGAAGUCGGUAAGAGACGCUAUUACUCACAGAUUUCCGAAUGGGGAAACCCACCCGAGAUAACUCGGGUAUCUGUUACUGAAUACAUAGGUAACAGAGGCGAACCGGGAGAACUGAAACAUCUAAGUACCCCGAGGAAAAGAAAUCAACCGAGAUUCCCUCAGUAGCGGCGAGCGAACGGGGAUUAGCCCUUAAGCAUCUUGGAAGUUAGUGGAACGGUCCUGGAAAGGCCGGCGAUACAGGGUGAUAGCCCCGUACACGAAAACAACCUUGAUGUGAAAUCGAGUAGGGCGGGACACGUGACAUCCUGUCUGAAUAUGGGGGGACCAUCCUCCAAGGCUAAAUACUCCUGACUGACCGAUAGUGAACCAGUACCGUGAGGGAAAGGCGAAAAGAACCCCUGUGAGGGGAGUGAAAUAGAACCUGAAACCGUGUACGUACAAGCAGUGGGAGCCCUUCGGGGUGACUGCGUACCUUUUGUAUAAUGGGUCAGCGACUUACAUUUUGUAGCGAGGUUAACCGUAUAGGGGAGCCGUAGGGAAACCGAGUCUUAACUGGGCGUCUAGUUGCAAGGUGUAGACCCGAAACCGGGUGAUCUAGCCAUGGGCAGGUUGAAGGUUGAGUAACAUCAACUGGAGGACCGAACCCACUAACGUUGCAAAGUUAGGGGAUGACCUGUGGCUGGGGGUGAAAGGCCAAUCAAACUCGGAGAUAGCUGGUUCUCCCCGAAAGCUAUUUAGGUAGCGCCUCGGACGAAUACUACUGGGGGUAGAGCACUGUUUGGGCUAGGGGGUCAUCCCGACUUACCAACCCCAUGCAAACUCCGAAUACCAGUAAGUAAUAUCCGGGAGACACACGGCGGGUGCUAACGUCCGUCGUGAAGAGGGAAACAACCCAGACCGCCGGCUAAGGUCCCAAAGUUCUGGUUAAGUGGGAAACGAUGUGGGAAGGCUCAGACAGCUAGGAUGUUGGCUUAGAAGCAGCCAUCAUUUAAAGAAAGCGUAAUAGCUCACUAGUCGAGUCGGCCUGCGCGGAAGAUGUAACGGGGCUCAAACCAGGCACCGAAGCCGCGGAUUCACRCUAAGYGUGAGUGGUAGGGGAGCGUUCUGUAAGUCUGCGAAGGUGUAUCGAGAGGUAUGCUGGAGAUAUCAGAAGUGCGAAUGCUGACGUAAGUAACGAUAAAGGGGGUGAAAAGCCUCCUCGCCGGAAGACCAAGGGUUCCUGUCCAACGUUAAUCGGGGCAGGGUGAGUCGACCCCUAAGGUGAGGCCGAAAGGCGUAAUCGAUGGGAAGCAGGUUAAUAUUCCUGCACGACUUGUAAUUGCGAUGGGGGGACGGAGAAGGCUAGGUGGGCCAGGCGACGGUUGUCCUGGUGAAAGUGCGUAGGUGGUGUUUSYAGGCAAAUCCGSAGACACAACRCUGAGACACGAGACGAACACACUACGGUGUGGAAGCCAUUGAUGCCCUGCUUCCAGGAAAAGCCUCUAAGCUUCAGAUUACAAGUCAUCGUACCCCAAACCGACACAGGUGGUCGGGUAGAGAAUACCAAGGCGCUUGAGAGAACUCGGGUGAAGGAACUAGGCAAAAUAGAACCGUAACUUCGGGAGAAGGUUCGCUCUUGAUGGUGAAGUCCCUUGCGGAUGGAGCUGUCGGGAGUCGCAGUGACCAGAUGGCUGGGACUGUUUAUCAAAAACACAGCACUCUGCAAACACGAAAGUGGACGUAUAGGGUGUGACACCUGCCCGGUGCCGGAAGGUUAAUUGAUGGGGUUAGCGCAAGCGAAGCUCUUGAUCGAAGCCCCGGUAAACGGCGGCCGUAACUAUAACGGUCCUAAGGUAGCGAAAUUCCUUGUCGGGUAAGUUCCGACCUGCACGAAUGGUGUAACCAUGGCCAUGCUGUCUCCACCCGAGACUCAGUGAAAUCGAAUUCGCCGUGAAGAUGCGGUGUACCCGCGGCUAGACGGAAAGACCCCGUGAACCUUUACUACAGCUUGGCACUGAACAUUGAACCUACAUGUGUAGGAUAGGUGGGAGGCUUUGAAGGCGUGACGCCAGUUGCGCUGGAGCCGUCCUUGAAAUACCACCCUUGUAUGUUUGAUGUUCUAACGCAGGGCCCUGAAUCGGGCUCGCGGACAGUGCCUGGUGGGUAGUUUGACUGGGGCGGUCUCCUCCCAAAGAGUAACGGAGGAGCACGAAGGUUGGCUAAUCCUGGUCGGACAUCAGGAGGUUAGUGCAAUGGCAUAAGCCAGCUUAACUGCGAGACGGACAGGUCGAGCAGGUACGAAAGUAGGUCAUAGUGAUCCGGUGGUUCUGAAUGGAAGGGCCAUCGCUCAACGGAUAAAAGGUACUCCGGGGAUAACAGGCUGAUACCGCCCAAGAGUUCAUAUCGACGGCGGUGUUUGGCACCUCGAUGUCGGCUCAUCACAUCCUGGGGCUGAAACCCCUUGAGGGUCCUAAAGGGCCGUUGGAGACCACAACGUUGAUAGGUGGGGUGUGUAAGCGCAGUGAUGUGUUGAGCUAACCCAUACUAAUUACCCGUGAGGCUUAACCAUACAACACCCAAGAAGUGUUCU